RNAcentral lists this unclassified non-coding RNA (330 nucleotides) under uncultured bacterium. Its description in RNAcentral is "contains 16S-23S intergenic spacer region". The record is from RNAcentral.
UGCUUGACACACACAUAUCUCGGUAGCUAUACGUCAAUCGAUAGCCAACAGGGUAUCGAUCCCCAAAAAUGCCGAACGCUCACGAUGUGCUCUUCAGAACGCUCGCGGAUCCGACUCGGCGGGCUCUCUUCGAGCGACUGUGCCGCGAAGGAGAGAAGACGGUCGGGGUGCUGACGGCUCGGGCCGGGGUCUCGCAACCCGUCGUCUCAAAGCAUCUUGGGAUCCUGAAGCAGGCCGGGUUGGUGCGGGACCGGCGCGAAGGUCGCCAGACGCACUAUAGCGCGCAGCUCGGCGCCUUGGUCCCGCUGAUCGACUGGACAAGCCAGAUGG